RNAcentral lists this ribosomal RNA (497 nucleotides) under uncultured bacterium. Its description in RNAcentral is "partial 16S ribosomal RNA". It matches the Rfam family "Bacterial small subunit ribosomal RNA", at positions 28 to 507 of the family's 1533-position model. The record is from RNAcentral.
GAUGAACGCUGGCGGUGUGCCUAACACAUGCAAGUCGAGCGGCCGCACAAUAAGCUCUUUCUCUUGCUGUUGGCGGCGGACGGGCGAGUAACACGUGCAUAACCUUCUUCUUUGACUGGGAUAAUUUCGGGAAGCCGCAGCUACUACUGCCUCAUAUGUUGUACCGCAUGGUUCAAAAGUGAUUCACGCCUUUCGUGUUUGUUUUAGAUGGUUUCGCGUUGCAUUAGCUAGUUGGUAAGGUAACGGCCUACCAAGGCUACGAUGCAUAGCCGACCUGAGAGGAUGAUCAGCCACACUGGAACUGAGACACGGUCCAGACUCCUACGGGAGGCAGCAGUGGGGAAUCUUCCACAAUGGGCGAAAGCCUGACGCAGCAACGCCGCGUGAGUGAUGAAGGUCUUCGGAUCGUAAAACUCUGUUAUUAGGAAAGAACAUAUGUAUAAUAAACUGUGCACAUCUUGACGGUACCUAAACAGAAAGCCACGGCUAACUACGUG